GUAGUCAUAUGCUUGUCUCAAAGAUUAAGCCAUGCAUGUCUAAGUAUAAGCAACUUUGUACUGUGAAACUGCGAAUGGCUCAUUAAAUCAGUUAUAGUUUAUUUGAUGGUUUUUGCUACAUGGAUAACUGUGGUAAUUCUAGAGCUAAUACAUGCAUUCAAGCCCCGACUUCUGGAAGGGGUGUAUUUAUUAGAUAAAAAUCAACUUUGUUGGCGAAUCAUAAUAACUUCUCGGACCGCAUGGCCUCGUGCUGGCGGUGCUUCAUUCAAAUAUCUGCCCUAUCAACUGUCGAUGGUAGGAUAGAGGCCUACCAUGGUUGCAACGGGUAACGGGGAAUA
Molecule: ribosomal RNA, 338 nt
Filed under: uncultured fungus
Lineage: Eukaryota; Fungi
Description: SSU rRNA
Rfam family: Eukaryotic small subunit ribosomal RNA
Source: RNAcentral